UUUGGUUUUAGGUCUCUGAUUGCAUGUCUUUCCUUUAACUGAGACUUGUGUCGUUUUCUGCUGUCAAUGAACCUAAUACAGAUCAUAAUCCGAUGUGAUCUUCAUACUCUGAUUGCUUUAUAGAUAUUUCGACAUUUGUGUCAACGCCGGGGAAGUUUCACAAUCGGAUGUGUCUGUGUUGAAAAACAAAUUUGAAAAUGUUAGACACGCGUCAGUUUGCAUAUAAAGGGAGAUCCGCCGACCUGACCCGGGUUGUUCAGAGGAAGCCGAUACCCAACAUUUCUACAAAACUGAUUUCUCUUCACUCAGGCAUGCUGCAUUUGGGCAGAAAAUCGAUCAUAUGUACAGAAGAAGGAAUCUAAAAAAAAAAAACAUGCUAAAUUUCCCUGUUUCAUGGCCCCUGAAAGCCAAUAAGCAAUAUAUAUAUGCAUAGCCAUGGCAUAAGUUCACUUUCAGAAUAGGUGAGGUAAUUAAAGGUAUUUUCUGCUUCCCUAGUAAACAUGUCAUGAUCUCAUGAAUAUCAAAAUAUCUUCCUUAUAAUCAUAUACAUGCCAUAAUGCAUCUACUGUGCUAAAAUAAAAAUGAAAAGACAA
This is a long non-coding RNA of Ylistrum balloti, 593 nucleotides long. RefSeq lists it as uncharacterized. The transcript is spliced from 2 exons. The record is from RefSeq and is a predicted model, not a curated record. Lineage: Eukaryota; Metazoa; Mollusca; Bivalvia; Pectinida; Pectinidae.